This 527-nucleotide ribosomal RNA is filed under the name uncultured bacterium. RNAcentral's name for it is "bacterial SSU rRNA". It matches the Rfam family "Bacterial small subunit ribosomal RNA", at positions 777 to 1304 of the family's 1533-position model. The record is from RNAcentral.
AAUAGAUACCCUGGUAGUCCAUGCCGUAAACGUUGGGCGCUAGGUGUGGGACUCAUUCCACGAGUUCCGUGCCGCAGCUAACGCAUUAAGCGCCCCGCCUGGGGAGUACGGCCGCAAGGCUAAAACUCAAAGGAAUUGACGGGGGCCCGCACAAGCGGCGGAGCAUGCGGAUUAAUUCGAUGCAACGCGAAGAACCUUACCAAGGCUUGACAUAUACCGGAAACACCCAGAGAUGGGUGCCCCGCAAGGUCGGUAUACAGGUGGUGCAUGGUUGUCGUCAGCUCGUGUCGUGAGAUGUUGGGUUAAGUCCCGCAACGAGCGCAACCCUCGUUCUAUGUUGCCAGCGCGUUAUGCCGGGGACUCGUAGGAGACUGCCGGGGUCAACUCGGAGGAAGGUGGGGACGACGUCAAGUCAUCAUGCCCCUUAUAUCUAGGGCUGCAAACACGCUACAAUGGCCGAUACAAAGGGCUGCUAUACCGCGAGGUGGAGCGAAUCCCAUAAAGUCGGUCUCAGUUCGGAUUGGAGU